This 336-nucleotide unclassified non-coding RNA is filed under the name soil metagenome. RNAcentral's name for it is "partial contains 5.8S ribosomal RNA, internal transcribed spacer 2, and large subunit ribosomal RNA". The stretch from base 1 to 120 matches the Rfam family "5.8S ribosomal RNA", at positions 35 to 154 of the family's 154-position model. The record is from RNAcentral.
GAUGAAGAACGUAGCGAAAUGCGAUAAGUAGUGUGAAUUGCAGAAUUCAGUGAAUCAUCGAAUCUUUGAACGCACAUUGCGCCCCUUGGUAUUCCAUGGGGCAUGCCUGUUCGAGCGUCAUUUGUACCUUCAAGCUCUGCUUGGUGUUGGGUGUUUGUCUCGCCUCUGCGUGUAGACUCGCCUCAAAACAAUUGGCAGCCGGCGUAUUGAUUUCGGAGCGCAGUACAUCUCGCGCUUUGCACUCAUAACGACGACGUCCAAAAGUACAUUUUUACACUCUUGACCUCGGAUCAGGUAGGGAUACCCGCUGAACUUAAGCAUAUCAAUAAGCGGAGG